UCCACAGAUGAAUCAAGAGUGCCAAUGUAAACAGAUUGAUGGAAUUUUGUUGAAGAAUGUUUUGGAAAUAUUUGUUGACAUCGGGUUAUGAAGUAUGUCUAGCUAUGAACAUGGUUUGAAGCAAAUAUGCUUGAAGAUACCACAGCAUAUUAUUUUUGAAAGGCUUCAGAUUGAAUUGUAAAAGACUCAUGCCCAGAUUACAUGUUAAAAAUGGUGGAGCAUUUAGAGUGUGAGAAAGAUAGAGUUCACAAUUACUUGCAUUCAAGCAGUGAACAAAAGUUGUUGGAGGUGGAUGAGUAGACUUUUUUGUAGAAGACCUCGCUGCUAGCACAAUGUCUCAGAUAUUCAAAGAGGACCGGACGACAAAAAUAAACAAAUUGCAGGCGGUGCAGUUACUUGUGUAUAUAUCAGGAUUAAGGACCUUUUGAGGAAUUAUACAGGGAAAAAUUUGCAGUAAGGCAUGUGCUUGACUAUUCCCAUUAUAAUGAACAUGAUGAGUAUAUGUGAGAAAAGCUAAAGCAAAAUAUGGUGCGAAAUUCACAUGAUAACUGAAAAAGAUGGUGGUAUGUUCCUUCAGAGGAUGUCAUUACUCAGUCAGUACCCACAUGAUAUCUUCAGGGCUUGUUCAU
Molecule: long non-coding RNA, 629 nt
Organism: Dioscorea cayenensis subsp. rotundata (Guinea yam)
Lineage: Eukaryota; Viridiplantae; Streptophyta; Magnoliopsida; Dioscoreales; Dioscoreaceae
Exons: 5
Source: RefSeq, a predicted model, not a curated record